Molecule: regulatory RNA element, 114 nt
Organism: Strongyloides ratti
Lineage: Eukaryota; Metazoa; Nematoda; Chromadorea; Rhabditida; Strongyloididae
Rfam family: Potassium channel RNA editing signal
About the family: This family represents a group of sequences related to the human potassium channel Kv1.1 hairpin element which directs the efficient modification of an adenosine to inosine by an adenosine deaminase acting on RNA (ADAR).
Source: Rfam
UUAGGUUAUGGUGAUAUGGUUCCAGGAACAGUAAUGGGUAAAAUAGUUGGUGGAAUAUGUUCACUUUCUGGUGUAUUGGUAAUUGCUUUACCAGUUCCUGUUAUAGUAUCAAAU